CUGGCACUUUAACAGGUCCUCCCCUAGGCAGUGGGGCAGGAUUUGGUAGCUGGUGCUGAGAGAAAACCCUUGAUUGGAUCCUUGCCCCUGGUACUGUACCAGAGGCAGCUGUCACUCAGUGGAACAGAG
This 129-nucleotide small nucleolar RNA is filed under the name Castor canadensis (American beaver). RNAcentral describes it as "Small nucleolar RNA SNORA30/SNORA37 family (ENSCCNG00000028851.1)". It matches the Rfam family "Small nucleolar RNA SNORA30/SNORA37 family". Rfam says of the family: The members of this family belong to the H/ACA class of snoRNAs that guide the sites of modification of uridines to pseudouridines. This family includes human ACA30 (SNORA30), ACA37 (SNORA37) and the mouse homolog MBI-26. Both ACA37 and ACA30 are predicted to guide the pseudouridylation of residue U4643 of 28S rRNA. The record is from Rfam by way of RNAcentral. Lineage: Eukaryota; Metazoa; Chordata; Mammalia; Rodentia; Castoridae.